AUAAAAGACUUGAUAUAUGAAACUUAGGUCUAAAAACAAUAUAUAUAUAUAUAGACCCUAUAGACCCUAAAAACGUCCAGGGACUAUAAUGCAAAUAGGAAAAUCUUCUGGGGCAAACUUGAGCUUCUGGAAACUCAAAAGCGUCUAGGGUUUUUGCUGGGCCGAAACUGGUGUCGAUCGACACCAAGAGUGUGUCAGUCGACACUCCUCGCUGAUUCCUGAACCAAAAUCGCCCGUAGCUUCCUUUUCCUUAGCUUUUGCUCCAAAAUGUCUCCUUAUCUCCAUUGUUAUCUCACUGCAUAGAAUACCUAAAAAGACACUAAAAAGACUCGAGAAAUAACAUAAAGACUCAAAAUCCUAUACCUAAAACAUAGAUAAAAUCGGUGAACCCGUGGAAGAGGUUUUGAAAACAAAGGAACUCCCAACAUUCUCUAGCCUAUUGCCAUGAUUAUUCAAACUAAGUCCAUAUGCCUAACAAGUGUAAUCAAAUCCUAACCAACAUGUACUUCUCUACAAGCUUACACAACAUUCUAGAUUCCAUACCUAAGUUCCACAACUAUAUCCACCAGGCUUUCAUCGCUGGGUCUCAUCAAACAAGCCAACAUUCAAGAUCCUUGUAGACUCAUUCCUGUACAAUACCAUGAUAAAUUGACCAUUCUUUAUAUUUUU
This 669-nucleotide small RNA is filed under the name Arabidopsis thaliana (thale cress). RNAcentral's name for it is "ATSL031290". The record is from RNAcentral. Lineage: Eukaryota; Viridiplantae; Streptophyta; Magnoliopsida; Brassicales; Brassicaceae.